CUUCUGUCUCCUUCUAUGAAACACACACACACACACUCUUCAUCUCAAAUUCCAAAUGGACUUGUUUGUAUCAUGUAGCAUGUAAUCGAUCGGUGUUCCAUUACCAUCACUAAUUCAUGUUUUUCUAAAACAUGGAUCGAUCCACAACGAAUUACGAAUGUAAAGUGUACACGGAUCGAUUGCAAGUUCUGAUAACGAUCGAUCGAAGAUAACUUUUAUCCUUAUAUAAUUGUUAAAUACUUUUGUUGUUGAAGAAAUCACAUUAAUCUAAGGCGGAUCGUUGGCGUAACUGCGUAAGUUGCAGAUUGUAGUGAUGCUUCGGUUGCUUCAUGCUGGUCUGGUUGUGACAGCUGGAGAUGUAUGGUAGUGUGUGGAUUCUCUCGUAUGGUUAACGCAUUUGUUAAAAAGUUCGACAUUUUCAUGGUGGAUAAGAUUUCCCUGAACAAGAGCAAAUAAUAUUUAGUUACUUGAAGAUUCAUUCUUCAGGGCUUACCUUUAAUCAUGGGUCUUAGGUUUUGGGUUGACCUUUUGGUUUAGUUCGUUGAUUUCCUCGAAAAGUAGUUGGUCCUAGCAAUUCAACAAUGUCAAGAUAUUUUCGAGGGCUAUGUAUCUUUUACUUUGACUUUUAUGGAUAGACGUGACUUUAGAGCUGGGGGUCUCACUGAAAGCAGUCUCUCUAUCCUUUGGGGGUUAGAGGUAACUAGAGCUUAUAGCGAGUGCUGUAUUUUGUCUUUCACAUUCGAGAUUCAUGAGGGAAGUAUGAGAGUGAUGGUAAAGGAUGGAAGAGACAAAACUGCCACUUUGAAUAUUUUGAAUGGAUACAGCAAUAGGUUUCAAGAAUAGAACUUAAGUAGAGGGAUUGGGGUCAAGAUAAUUUUCCGCCAACACUCCAGAAAAGUAUCUCUUGAAAGUUUGGCUUGGAAACUAGAGGGGUACCUUACCGUAAGUACUUCAAAGCAUGCGUUUAUUGUCUUCAUGCUCAUAAUACUCGGGAUUGUUAACUUGAAACCAUCUCUUAGAACUAAAAGCUUUAUGUAACAUUCAUUCUCUACGCUCUUUUUCGAAACCAAUAGAAAGCAAGUCGAUAAUGAGCAGGUUUCGGGUUCAGAGUCGAAAAAGUGGUUGAUAGAUAGGAGCCAAAUUGCAUGAUCAAUAACCUCAGGUAGCAUUGGUUGUGAUACAUGAAUUGUUAGCUAUUAGCUGCUUAUAAGUGUUUGUUGGUGGAUCAUGAUGAUGUCCCGCCAUGACUUUUAGUAGUUGGAGGUUUUUGGGCUUGUGUAGUUGUGUUUAUCCUUUGAGUUAGGGUGUCACAUCUCGUAUCCUAGCAGAAGGCGUUUUAGUAGUAACUAAUUAUUAGGCUACUACAAAGAUGGCAAGAAUUAAGAGUAAACUACUUGAGCCUGGAUAUGUUUGGCUUUAUAUUGAAAAUGAUUUGGGUAAUUAGAAAUCUAUGGAGAGAAAAAAGUAGGAUAGAAAUCGUGUAGGAGUUGAAUUUUAUUACUUGAACAAAUUAGGUCACAUGGCUCUGGUCUUCUGUAACUCAUGAUCAUAUCUUCUUGGCUACGCUGUGCCUGGAAUCACUAUAGGUACCACUUUCUCUUCUCUUCUCACAAGGGUUUCUCUUUGCAUUUUGUUGCCACUACCGUGAGGGUUUCCCGUUUUUCGUUGAUUAAUAAUUUUGUCUUCUCUAGGCCAGGACGAACUUGGUAUUCUAAAGUUAUUGAUAUAGCACUAGAUGCAUAAGCAAAGACUUGUAUAUAUCAUAGUUGUCGAUAGCGAGCGUAGCGAUCGCUAUAGCACGCUACGUAGCGUAUAGAUCUAGGCUCGCUAUUAGGGUUGUAGCGAUAGAUAGCGAUAGUAGGGAAUUUUUUUUUACUAAAAAUAGAAAUUAAAUAUAGCUAUAAAAUAGCUGGAUUUUAGGUUUUUGUUAAGUAUACAUGUAAAAUAGCAUAUAUACAUACCAGGGUAUUUUGAUAUAAUAUACAUAUAAAUUUUAAAAAAAAAAAUUCUAGUGUAUCGCUAUUUAUAAAAUAGCCGCCGCUAUUUAUCGCUAUUCGCUAUGUAGCAUAUAGGUAGGUACCUUAUCGCUAUUUGUCACUAUUCGCCAUUAACAACUAUGGUAUAUAUAUCAUGUGAAACUCAAAACAUUUUCCUUAAUGACAGUGUUCCACCACAGGCUGACAUGAUCCUACUGUUUGCAGCUCUUAUUACAUACUUGCUUCAAGUACAUUAUCAGCUGCUUUGAAAGUUGUGAAUUGAAACUUACACUCGUAUAUGGUUUGACACAUUAUCAAGAACAUGUGGGUCCUCACAGUUUCCUUGUUCUAGUUUCCCUGCCUCUUUUUUAUCCUUAUCUCACUCAAAUUUACUUGGCAGCUACACUUUUUGUUUAAUAGUGUUCUGCGCUUAUCUCAUAUAAUGCUACUAUCUGGAAUCGAGUGAAGAAGCUGAAAUGCCAUAGAUUUCUGUUGAAACUUAUCCCUCAUUUUUGUUUCUAGGUUUAUCUGAAGUCACAAAGUUUGUGCACUAAAUAUGUCUAUUUCUACUUCUAGAAAGAACUGAAGUUCAGAGAUACUGCUAGUCCUGCAGAAUCUUUUAAACCUAAAUCUCACCUCUUUUGGACUUCAGUUAGGUGGUGCCAAAGCAUCGUAAAAUAAACAUUGACGUUAGUUAUGUGGUAUUUGAGGCCAAACAUCUCUUAUGAACCCAACACUGUAAAGGACAGAGGGAUGUGGGAUUCGUCCUGUUUUUUUCUUUCAUAUUGAUUGCACCUGUGCGUAUAUUUUGUGCAACUUGCAUGUGUAUUGUAAGUAUUAUAUGUGGCUUAGGAUCUUUAUUUCUUAUUAUACUUUAACUCAUGUCUAUUAAGCAUAAUAUGUAAAUAGAAGUUAUUUGUAAGCUUACCCUGACAUCUGAAACCGGGCUUGUAAUCUGGUGCUCCUCUUUUGCUUUGUGGUAUCGCUCAAUCACUGACUUCAUGCUGCACAAAUUUUCUUUAGUUUGUAACUGCAAAUAAGUACAAACUGCAAAUACUAGAUUGAUUUGACAGACUGCUUAUACCUAGCUACAUGCAAUAUGAAAUGUCAAAAACAACAUGGCUCAUUAAUUACCACCAAGAGCAUUAUAUUCAAUUGCAAGUAUCACCCUAAUUGGUUCUACUGUAAUAAGAUUCGCUUUAGGCCUCUAAAACGGUUGAGCAGUUCUCUAUAAGAUAUACUUUAACCAAUCACUACUACUACUACUACUACUACAGCUAAACUUGAAUCUUGUUCAGAUCCAAUACACGUAAAUCAGACUAGAUUAGUGUGCCAAACCUGGAUCUUGUUUACGGUUGAGCAGUUCUCUAUAACAACCCUUUCAGGGAAAGUAAAUCAAGUUAUAUGAUGGGUCAGUUUGGUUUAAAUCCAAAUCAAUUAAAUAUAUUUUUUUAAAUUGCCCGUAACAUGACCAACCCGUUUUGACAAUGACAGAGGGUAUACCUAAUUAGGUUAAUGUAUCAAAUCUACUAGUUUUAAGAACGAAAUAUGGAUUGCCUAUUAAUGUUACAAUAUGUGUAAUUAGCUUUAAAACUUCGGAUUCUACGUUUUAACCUAAAGCACUUUUGUGAAUGAAUAAAAAUAUAUUUUAAUUAGGGGUGACGUUAUAGAAUAGUAGCCAAGUUUCUCAUUUGUUCCAUUAAAGUCAUUCGAUCUUUUUUUCGCCUCUGAAGUUUCAUUUGAUGUUCUAAUCUUGAUACAGUAAUUCAAACUUGAGUGACUUUAGAGAAACAAGAAAAGAUUGAGCGACUUUAGGGGAACAAAGCACAAAUUUGGUUACUAAUCUAGUCCAAAAGUGUCCAGUUAACAAUUGAGUGGAGUGUUUAGAUGGAACAGGAUUGCUGAUUUGAGGCAGAGAAGAGUGAUAAUCCGAGUUGAACAGGAGAACAUUUAUCUGAGAUUUUGAGGUGAUCCGGAGCAAUGAUUUGAUCCGGCAAGGGUUUUAAGUUUGAUGUUAAUUCAUUAAAAAAAGUUGAUCAUUUGAAAAUUAAGGUUGCAUUUGAAUUGAUGGUUACCUUGGUAUUUCAUUAUUUUUUUCCAAUCCAUGUUAUUCAAAUGACCUGAAAACCUAGUAAACUUGGUUACUAUUAUGUGAAAAUUUUCCUUUAA
This is an RNA transcript of Helianthus annuus (common sunflower), 4145 nucleotides long. RefSeq lists it as uncharacterized. The record is from RefSeq and is a predicted model, not a curated record. The transcript is spliced from 7 exons. NCBI's taxonomy places the organism in Eukaryota, Viridiplantae, Streptophyta, Magnoliopsida, Asterales, Asteraceae.